GUCGCAUGAUAACUUACAUACAUAAGGUAAAUGUUACCCUUUAUAAAUCUUACACACGGUUUUAUGCUGGAACUUAAAUAUGGUAAAUUAUGCUGUCAAGUCAAAGAAAACAGGCAAUAUGGUCAGAAAAAAGCGACACUUCUAAUAGGCAUUAAACACUUUGUUUAAGGUGAUAACAUUUAGUUUAGCUUUACUCAUUUUUCUGAUGCCACUUUAAUUUUAACCUUUGUACUUAUUGUUCAUGGCAAUGCCAAUAUGGGUACCGGUAAUGGCUAACUGAUAUAAUUAACUUAACCUUCUAUUUCAUAAGGUCACAUCCUCUAAACUUUGUUUGAUAAACUUCAACUCUCUUUGCUUAGCAGUUGUGGUCAAUUAAAAUAAAAUGAUAACAUUCUGCUGAUAUUCUUGUAUAUAUAUGUGUGAAUGUAUAGUAGUAUGCCUGUAAAUGCUUUAACGACUCCAAUUACUUCUGAAAGUAAUUUGCAAAACAAGAAUGUGUCCCCAGUACACGGAUGCCCCACUAUCAUUUUCUAUGUUCAGUGGACCGUGAAAUUGGGGUCAGAACUCUAAUUUGACAUUAAAAUUAGAAAGAUCAUAUCAUAAGGAACAUAUAUACUAAGUUUCAGGUUGAUUGGACUUCAACUUCAUCAAAAACUACCUCGACCAAAAACUUUAACCUGAAACUGGACAGACGAAUGAACGAACGGACACCCAGACCAGAAAACAUAAUGCCCCUCUUCUAUCGUAGGUGGGGCAUAACAACAAUACCUAAGUACUAAUCUAUCCUAUUUUGCUAAGCACUAUCAAAAUCAAAAUAUGACCUGUGUCGCAUAGAAAUCAAAUGUAUGCAAAUGAUUAUCAAUUGAAUAUCAAUACAUAUUUUUUUAACAUUUUUUCGGGUUGAAAAAAAUUC
RNAcentral lists this long non-coding RNA (913 nucleotides) under Mytilus galloprovincialis (Mediterranean mussel). Lineage: Eukaryota; Metazoa; Mollusca; Bivalvia; Mytilida; Mytilidae. The record is from RNAcentral.